This 567-nucleotide long non-coding RNA is filed under the name Sus scrofa (pig). RNAcentral describes it as "lncRNA (ENSSSCG00070001154.1)". The record is from RNAcentral. Lineage: Eukaryota; Metazoa; Chordata; Mammalia; Artiodactyla; Suidae.
ACUAAAUCAUCUCCCUUUCUGCCUCUCUUCACUGUUGUGGACUAUUCCCCGAAUAAACAUGAGUUCUCAGCCAGUGUUGGUGUGUUGGUGUAUUGGUGUGUUGGUGUGUGUGUUUGCAAGCAGUCUGUGUGUGUGUGUGUGUGUGUGUGUGUGUGUGUGUGUUUAUCAGCAUCCUGAUAUGUUUAAAGGCACUUGAGUUUUCUGCAUGAUAUUUCCCAACAUAUUUACGCUGACUUUUCCAUUUUAUCUUUCAGAAGGACCACAGAACUUAGAUCAAGUCCAGAAAGAAAUGGCUAGGAUGAUGGCUCAGUUCAAGGAUGAUUGGAGGAGAGAACAGUUGCUGAAUGAAGGACUUCAGGAAAAAUAUGAUGAUCUUCAAAAGAAAUUCGAUCAAGUCCAGAAAGAAAUGGGUAAAUUUUUUGACAUUUUUUAACAGAUGUAUUUCUUUAAAACAUCUUUUCCCACCAUUUCUCAACAUUCCCUCCUCCCUGCUCCUGUCCGCCCUUUAGCUUCUUGUGGGUUCCACGUUACCCUAUUUUCUCUUUGACGUCCUGAGGUCCUCCCACA